Molecule: long non-coding RNA, 2086 nt
Organism: Onychostoma macrolepis
Lineage: Eukaryota; Metazoa; Chordata; Actinopteri; Cypriniformes; Cyprinidae
Exons: 3
Source: RefSeq, a predicted model, not a curated record
UCGCGUGCACAUUGCUACACUUGCUUCUCGCAACUUGAGAGCGAAGGAAGGGGAAGCUAGACUAUAUGAAGAGCCAGGCCUAGGCGAUUUUGAUCAAAAUGGCUCUUUUUGUUUGCGAGUUUUAAUACGUUGCUUUCCGUAUUCUCGUAUUUUGUUGUGAUAACGCCAGCAAGGCUGUUUUAAGUCUUUCAAAAAAAGUCUGUGCAAAGGUUACAAGUGCUAGUAUUGGUCAUCAUAGUGAUGGACACCUCCUUGAUCCUGUGUUGUGUUUACAGUCUAACACAGCAGCAGCUCUAUUGGACUGGGGUCUUGUUACAGCAGAUGUGCUUUUGUGAGUCCAUAGUUCCCCUGAGGACCACCACCCUUCCCUGAUAGCAGCCUGCCUUCCCCCACUUCAGCGUUCCCAUUCAUCUCUAAAUAAGCAGCUGCAAGGACAUGCAUUCCAGCUCCUCAGAUCCUGUUCCCUAUCCAUCUGACGCACUUUGAGCAUGAAGAUCAAUGGAGCCAAGGGCAGUGUGUAAGGGGAUCCAGGGCCAAGGAGGAGAGCAGAUUUGUGUUUUAUUUGUUCUGUGGUGCAGACCUGUUUGAUGUGACCCUCUCCCAUUUCAUUCAUCCGUAAAAUCUGCUGUGUGUGAGUGAAAACUGGGGGAGUGGGUCUCACUUGAUACUCAGAUGUAAUGAGGAACUGCCAGUCAUGUAAAAGGGACAAUUCACCCAAAAAAUGUAAAUUCUGUCAUCAUUUACUCCCCCUAAUGCUAUUCUUCUGUGGAAGAUAAAAGAAGAUAUUUGGAGAAAUGUCUGUGUUAUUUUUUUUUGUCUAUGACAACCAAAAUUUUGUUAGCAGAAUUCUUCAGAAUAUCAGAAUAUUCUAUGUUCUGCAGAAGAAAGAAAGUCCUACAGGUUUGCAGCGACAUAAGAGGGAGUACAAUUUUCCUUUUUUUUUUUGGGGUGAACAAUGCCUUAGCAGUAGGGUAUCAUGUUGAAUGUAUUAAAAAUAGGAAAAGAUAUUGAAAUGUUGGUAUAUGAGUGCUGUUUCCUGUCAGGGUCAUCUUACAGUACCAAAUUUCUGUCUUGGUGAUGAUGUGUGUAAUUUUCCUGAUCUUAAUUUCAUAUUCAUAGACUUCAACUUUAUUAGUAAUUUUCUCCUAAAUGUGUAAACACCGUACUUUUAUUUAGUUUGAGUGUUUUUGCAAUGCAAAGUGUGACUGGGCCAGGACCUGUUUUGCAGACCAUUGGCAGACAAACAUUUCUGCAUUGUGAUGUUAGUUUCGCAUAAAUCUCACGCUUUUUUUAGCACAGAAAUCUCACACUUUCACAGUUCUCGCAUUAAGUUUCUAUAGAAAUAGCAAAACAUAAAACAGAGAAUGCAACAAGAAAAUUAGUUUGGGGUCUCCGAAAGCAUUGUAGUGCAUUGCUUGUUUAGACAUGACAGAGAUAUGACUGUAAUCUAGUCUUUUGUAAUUAACCUCCAGGCUUUCCUGUGUGCUCCUAAUUACUCUACAUAAACAAUGUGGGAUCAGUGCUAAUCUGAAAGAGCCCAUUCAGAGGCUUUCAUGUGGGGCUUCUAAUGGGCUCUGCAGGCGGGGGAGUGCAGGCUGAUCCGGAGGAGGUGGUGGGGGGAGUUCACAGGAGGGAACUGUUAACAGAUCACCCACACCACUGGAUUCAGAUACCAGGGUUGAAGGCAUAAACUCAGCAUCACAUUAAACAGCCUGGUUCCACUCAGAAGCCAUAACCACCAAGCCCACACCAUAAACACAGGUCCUGCCAGUCUUAAUGCACAUAUGGUGAUGCAGUCAAUGCUCACAGACUUUGCCAUCUUGAUUAGAUUAUAUUAGAUUACAAGUACAGCCAAUUAAAUACACUUCAAAGAAACAUUAUGAUGUAAAUGUAAAUUAUUUCAGAUUCUAAUAAGUAAAUUAGGGACAUUGAUCACGUGACUGUAAGGAAGGUCAGAUGUUCUUCCAUUGAAGCUCAAGAUGCUCUUUGGAUCUCAAAUCAUUCAGCGCAUGGUCAUCAGGUUUCAGACAAUCUUGCUCAGGUUCUGCUAUCAUGAAAACAUAAAGGCAAAAUAGAAGUAUUUUCA